AUUGAACGCUGGCGGCAGGCCUAACACAUGCAAGUCGAGCGGAUGAAGGGAGCUUGCUCCUGGAUUCAGCGGCGGACGGGUGAGUAAUGCCUAGGAAUCUGCCUGGUAGUGGGGGAUAACGUCCGGAAACGGGCGCUAAUACCGCAUACGUCCUGAGGGAGAAAGUGGGGGAUCUUCGGACCUCACGCUAUCAGAUGAGCCUAGGUCGGAUUAGCUAGUUGGUGGGGUAAAGGCCUACCAAGGCGACGAUCCGUAACUGGUCUGAGAGGAUGAUCAGUCACACUGGAACUGAGACACGGUCCAGAAUCCUACGGGAGGCAGCAGUGGGGAAUAUUGGACAAUGGGCGAAAGCCUGAUCCAGCCAUGCCGCGUGUGUGAAGAAGGUCUUCGGAUUGUAAAGCACUUUAAGUUGGGAGGAAGGGCAGUAAGUUAAUACCUUGCUGUUUUGACGUUACCAACAGAAUAAGCACCGGAUAACUUCGUG
RNAcentral lists this ribosomal RNA (484 nucleotides) under uncultured bacterium. RNAcentral's name for it is "partial 16S ribosomal RNA". It matches the Rfam family "Bacterial small subunit ribosomal RNA", at positions 30 to 507 of the family's 1533-position model. The record is from RNAcentral.